This 487-nucleotide ribosomal RNA is filed under the name uncultured bacterium. Its description in RNAcentral is "partial 16S ribosomal RNA". It matches the Rfam family "Bacterial small subunit ribosomal RNA", at positions 30 to 523 of the family's 1533-position model. The record is from RNAcentral.
AUUGAACGCUGGCGGCAUGCUUUACACAUGCAAGUCGAACGGUAACAGGUUAAGCUGACGAGUGGCGAACGGGUGAGUAAUGCAUCGGAACGUGCCCGGUCGUGGGGGAUAACGCAGCGAAAGCUGCGCUAAUACCGCAUACGAUCUGAGGAUGAAAGCGGGGGACCGUAAGGCCUCGCGCGAUCGGAGCGGCCGAUGUCAGAUUAGGUAGUUGGUGGGGUAAAGGCUCACCAAGCCGACGAUCUGUAGCUGGUCUGAGAGGACGACCAGCCACACUGGGACUGAGACACGGCCCAGACUCCUACGGGAGGCAGCAGUAGGGAAUAUUGGUCAAUGGGUGAGAGCCUGAACCAGCCAUGCCGCGUGCAGGAAGAAGGCCUUCUGGGUUGUAAACUGCUUUUGCCAGGGGAUAAAAUGGGAGUGCGCUCCUAAUUGAAGGUACCUGGUGAAUAAGCCACGGCUAACUACGUGCCAGCAGCCGCUGUAA